RNAcentral lists this ribosomal RNA (504 nucleotides) under uncultured bacterium. RNAcentral's name for it is "partial 16S ribosomal RNA". It matches the Rfam family "Bacterial small subunit ribosomal RNA", at positions 30 to 523 of the family's 1533-position model. The record is from RNAcentral.
AUUGAACGCUAGCGGCAUGCUUAACACAUGCAAGUCGAACGGCAGCGCGGGUAGCUUGCUACCUGGCGGCGAGUGGCGGACGGGUGAGUAAUGUGUAGGAAUCUACCUUAUAGUGGGGGAUAACCCGGGGAAACCCGGGCUAAUACCGCAUAAUCUCUACGGAUCAAAGAGGGGGACCUUCGGGCCUCGUGCUAUCAGAUGGUACUACGUCGGAUUAGCUAGUUGGUGGGGUAAAGGCCUACCAAGGCGACGAUCCGUAGCUGGUCGGAGAGGACGAGCAGGCACACUGGGACUGAGACACGGCCCAGACUCCUACGGGAGGCAGCAGUGGGGAAUAUUGGACAAUGGGGGAAACCCUGAUCCAGCAAUGCCGCGUGUGUGAAGAAGGCCUUCGGGUUGUAAAGCACUUUCAGUGGGGAAGAAAGAACCAAAAUUAAUACUUUUGGGUGUUGACGUUACCCACAGAAGAAGCACUGGCUAACUCUGUGCCAGCAGCCGCCGUAA